Molecule: long non-coding RNA, 664 nt
Filed under: Triticum aestivum (bread wheat)
Lineage: Eukaryota; Viridiplantae; Streptophyta; Magnoliopsida; Poales; Poaceae
Description: long non-coding RNA (TAES_LNC026839)
Source: RNAcentral
UUAAAACUAUGAUAGAAAUGUAAAAUUUGAUGGCAAAACUACAGCAAGGAAAAAGAACUCCUAUGUAGUGAUGGUAGAACGUAUGAAUUUGCCGCGGCAAAAUUUGGUUCUCCCUAAGAAAACAUAAUGGAAAAACUAUGGUGGAACGAAUCUAAAUUUGCCGUUCACUGCAUAUUGAAAAUUGCCCUAGAAUAUCCCUACCAGUUCUGAACCAAAUCAAAAACAACAUAUCACAAAAAUACCAUGGUACAGAAUGGGGGUGAAAAUUGCCAUGACAUAUCUACUAGUGCACUGGGUCAUGGCAUGUCAUCUGUACUAGUCUACUGGGUCAUGGGAUGCAAUUGGGGGUGAGAAAUCUAAACACAAAAUUCGGAUCUGCCUCUACUGGGUCAUGGAACAUCAAUUUGCAGAUAAUCAAACUAACAAAAAUGAAAAAAAGAUGGGGGGUUGAGGAUGUUGCCACCUGCAGUGGAAGGAUCCAAAUGCCUUUUGCAGUUCGCCACCGUGGUGGUCAAGCUCGACCUGCGGCUGCGGCGUCACCUGGCGAACAACGACGAGCAUGGACUCCCUGCAGCCUUGCAGCAAAAACAUGAUGCGGAGGACCGCCACGCCCGUCAUCGAGUAGUGCGCCUCCACAAUCUUGAAGCCAUAGGGUGCGCUGNNN